CAGUCGAGCGGACUUGAUGGAGUGCUUGCACUCCUGAUGGUUAGCGGCNGACGGGUGAGUAACACGUAGGCAACCUGCCCUCAAGACUGGGAUAACUACCGGAAACGGUAGCUAAUACCGGAUAAUUUAUUUCACAGCAUUGUGGAAUAAUGAAAGACGGAGCAAUCUGUCACUUGGGGAUGGGCCUGCGGCGCAUUAGCUAGUUGGUGGGGUAAUGGCUCACCAAGGCGACGAUGCGUAGCCGACCUGAGAGGGUGAACGGCCACACUGGGACUGAGACACGGCCCAGACUCCUACGGGAGGCAGCAGUAGGGAAUCUUCCGCAAUGGGCGAAAGCCUGACGGAGCAACGCCGCGUGAGUGAUGAAGGUUUUCGGAUCGUAAAGCUCUGUUGCCAAGGAAGAACGUCUUCUAGAGUAACUGCUAGGAGAGUGACGGUACUUGAGAAGAAAGCCCCGGCUAACUACGUGCCAGCAGCCGCGGUAAUACGUAGGGGGCAAGCGUUGUCCGGAAUUAUUGGGCGUAAAGCGCGCGCAGGCGGUUCUUUAAGUCUGGUGUUUAAACCCGAGGCUCAACUUCGGGUCGCACUGGAAACUGGGG
This 599-nucleotide ribosomal RNA is filed under the name bacterium Ri.S26. RNAcentral's name for it is "bacterial SSU rRNA". It matches the Rfam family "Bacterial small subunit ribosomal RNA", at positions 59 to 638 of the family's 1533-position model. The record is from RNAcentral.